UUUCGAACAGAAAAGAAACGCAAACAGACAGGGGCUUCCAGCUCCGGCGGCGGACCUCGCCGUGUGCAGCGCUGCGACGUCGGCCUACGAGAUCGACAUGGUGCGGACGUCCAGCGGCGAAGUCGCUCCAUUUCCGCCUCGCUAUCCACCUCGCCCCCCUCUCCCACGCCACCGGACCCGACCCAACCCGGCGCCUAGCUCCGCCGAUCCGCCAACGCAAGGGAUUGAGUGCUCUGAUCUUCAGUGUUUGCAUUUUCCACAGGGCCAACUGAAGGAGCCGGUUCUUUAGUCUCCUCAAAAUUGCUGACAGCACAGCUAAAGGAACAGAAGCUUCAGACUAGUAUUCCUGAGAAUAACAACAGGAAAUCUAUUGAACAACACUGGCUCGGCAUUUGGCUGCCCCUGGAACAACUUAGUCUGAUCCUCUGUGAAGAACCCAAACAACUGACUAGCUGAAUUACAGAAGAAAUUACGAUGAGAACAAAUGACAAGCGGCAAAAAGAGCUGCAAGAGGACAAUUCUAGCAUGCAUACCUUGCCAGUACUUGAAACUUGUUGGGGAAUUGACAUUCAUGGCAGAGAUGUGUACACUCACAACAUUUUUGUUGCUUUCCAAAGUGAGGUGGUUGCUGCUAGGGAUCGUCGUCAUGUAAAAACUAUUGAGCAGGUUGGCGAUGUCCAAACCAUGAGCAUUGCUGACCUUAGCGGCAGGAUAAGAGUAGUCCGCUACAACACUAGUACGAAGGCUGCACAAUGUACUUGCCGAAUGUUUGAAGCAUUGGGCAUCAUGUGCUCUCACAUCAUUGGUGUUUUAAAGAAUGAUGGGUGUAAUGAAAUUCUUAGCCAAUAUGUGUUGCAUAGGUGGUCUAAAAUGGCUGCACGACAUGUUUCUUGUGAUGCUAAUGGACAUGAGCUAGAGGGGUCAUCUACAUCUCUUUCACCUACCAUCAAUAAACUGUACUCAGAAACAUGCUUGAUGUUCAGCUCGGCAUUGCAUACAGCUAAACAUUGUGAGGACAAGAUGUAAUACUUUCACAAAAUUAUUUCUGAUGCUCUUGCGCACUUGAGGCAGACGGUGCCGCUUCACGAGCAGAAUAAAGUUCAAGAGUUGGAAUCCUUCAUUGGAACGACAUUGCCGAGCAUCAUCAAAAUUCAUCCACCGGAGGAUGCAAACACAAAGGGCAGUGGUAAGAGAUUGAAGAGGGGUUCGGAGGAGGCCAUGAACAAAAGGAAAAGAGGAAGUAGUGUCCAGAAAGGUCUAAGAUCUGUAGAUUGUUCUAUUAAUCAGCACACCCAGCCCAUGGGAGCGGAUAUUAACAUUUGGUGCUAAAAUCAUGAAUGAGAAAUGCCUUUUGUUCAUGUGCUAUCCAAUGUUGGAGACUUCUGCUACAACUUAAACACAAAGUUGAAUAUGUUGGUGCAAUAUGUGUACCUGCUACCUUGGGCUAUAAAUCACAUCUGAGUUGCAACUCUAGUUAUGCCCUUCAUAGUAGAUUUUAUGUGUACUGUCAUGAGUGCUGCUGAGAAAGCAUUCAUGAUAUUUUGUAUAAAAAGGUGUGUAAGAGCAUAAUAUUAUUGUACUGUUAGCUUUUAAAUGCCAAGAUAGAUUUGAAAGUGGUGGAAUGCAUUGCCAAUGGAUAGUGGUUUAUGUGUUCCCUUAUGAUUUGAGAAAGGUGUCUACUACACUUGACGUUGGCUUCACAAUUCUAGUGCAAAAUUCACCAGUUCAAAUUAUUGUUCAUGAACUUGUUUAUUCUUCAUUUCUUUUAA
Molecule: long non-coding RNA, 1769 nt
Organism: Triticum aestivum (bread wheat)
Lineage: Eukaryota; Viridiplantae; Streptophyta; Magnoliopsida; Poales; Poaceae
Exons: 5
Source: RefSeq, a predicted model, not a curated record